RNAcentral lists this ribosomal RNA (466 nucleotides) under uncultured bacterium. Its description in RNAcentral is "partial 16S ribosomal RNA". It matches the Rfam family "Bacterial small subunit ribosomal RNA", at positions 28 to 507 of the family's 1533-position model. The record is from RNAcentral.
GAUGAACGCUGGCGGCGUGCUUAACACAUGCCAGUCGAACGGAAAGGCUCCUGCUUGCAGGGGUACUCGAGUGGCGAACGGGUGAGUAACACGUGGGUGAUCUGCCCUGCACUUCGGGAUAAGCCUGGGAAACUGGGUCUAAUACCGGAUAGGACGAUGGUUUGGAUGCCAUUGUGGAAAGUUUUUCGGUGUGGGAUGAGCUCGCGGCCUAUCAGCUUGUUGGUGGGGUAAUGGCCUACCAAGGCGUCGACGGGUAGCCGGCCUGAGAGGGUGUACGGCCACAUUGGGACUGAGAUACGGCCCAGACUCCUACGGGAGGCAGCAGUGGGGAAUAUUGCACAAUGGGCGCAAGCCUGAUGCAGCGACGCCGCGUGGGGGAUGACGGCCUUCGGGUUGGAAACUCCUUUCGCUAGGGACGAAGCGUUUUGUGACGGUACCUGGAGAAGAAGCACCGGCUAACUACGUG